UCAGACCUUGUCUAGAGGCUCAUCUAGGCAACAAAAAAGGGUUUAGCUUAGCAGUUGAGGGCAACACAUCAAGUUGAUGAUCAGUUGAAUGCAAUAGAUGAGCAGCGAGGAAAUAAAUUGUUCCAGUUUUUUAACUUAUUGUACUUGCAGGUAUAGGAUAUCUUUUUAGCUUGUUUUUAAAUGUUUCAGGAACAUAUGUCAUAUUUAUGUUGAAUGGAUAUGAAGAUUUAGAAUCAUUUUGUGCAAUUCAAGAAAAAGACUUGGAUUACUUGGGUAUCCUGGAUAUCGAACAACGAGCUUUAAUAUUAGCUGCAGUAGAAGUAAUGCACGGUUAUGAAUCUCCAGACAAUGGGGACAGUAGUGGAGACGAAUACAAUCCAGAAUCCUUUGACCAACAAAAUAAUCAUGAGCACUCAAGGUCGAAUAAUCUAGACUCGAACUUAUCAGAGACAUCAUCGGCGUCUACACGAACAAGCACGAAGAGCGAAAAUUCUCAUCCGAUGAUCAAAACCAGUGCAAACAAUGUCUCAUCAGUUGAAGUGACAGAGACGCAAGGGAGCAAUACUUAUCUACCAAACAUACCGUCAAAAACAAAUCAAAAGUCCAGUAGUAUAGUUGAAAUAACGAGCAGCGAUCUCAAAAGUAAUGAAAAAGUUGCAGUAGUCAAGUAUAUUUGUAAUCCUUCAGACUUGACCUGUGAAACCAAUAGCUCCAUAGUGAGAAACUCAGAGGAAAAUCAUGUCGUUCGACGCAACUCGAGCAAUUGCUGCACAUUUAGUGAAAAGUCCAGUGACUCAGGGAUUAGUAGUAGUUCUGUGUCCUCAUCAGCCCCUAAUCAAAACUCUGUGAUGAAAAUCAAACGCAAAAUUCAAACAACCAAUAACAUUAGUCCGGGAACUAAGGCAGCAUUAAUCGAGUCGCCAACAAGGAGUUAUGUCGGUCAUUUUGUAAUGGAUUCAAGAAAAAACUGAUAAAUUUGUGCUGCAAAAUCAAACAUCAGGAUUUUCUCCGACAAUGCCAUAUUUUUUUUAAAUAAGUCACUUCAAAAUAAGAACCAGGUGACUUUUUUAAAAAACUAUCCAUGUUGUUUUAUUUUUAUUUUGUCUGUGAUCUUCAGUAUUUAAGUUUAUAUUAAAAUAGAUUUUCCCUGAAGCCAAACAUUCCAUAAAUAUUUUGAACAAUGUUGUAUUUUCUCAAAAUUUCCUUUAUAAGGGGGUGUUAGGUAGCUGAAUGUAGACUAGGGUGUUCUUUACCCUUGUAAUUUUGCAUAAGUUGUGCAGAACAUUUUCGUAUGCAAAUGUUCUGCUAUAUAUUUGAAGAACUUAAGUUUCAUAAUUUCUAGUUUAACAAACUCUGCCAACUUGUCAGAUCAUUGAGUAAAAAAGAAAAUUGAAUUUUGUUCUAACCAAUCUUCUCAUUAGUGAAUUAUAUUUUGAAUGUACUCUUGAAAUAAUUGGAUGCAUUGCAAGAAACUACCUCAACAUCUUGGACGUUAAUUUGAGUACUAAGUCGUUUUACCACAGUAAUAUGUACUUUUACAUUGUUUGCUACCAAGGCUGCAUGAAAAUUUGAAUAUGUAGUGGGUUCAAGGGAGCAAUUUGAUGGUAGAUCUGCAGGAAUGUGUAUCUAGGUUUGCAACGUUGCAGACUUCCUGUCAUCGUUUUUUUUUUCCUUUAGAAAAUUACUCGACAUCAUCUUGUGGAAACGUCCCUAUUUUUUUUUCUCUGUAUGAAAAAAUUCUGUAAAAUUUCAAACCAUAGAGAUGGUCUGUUCUCAUUUGAUAAAAUUAAAUGUAAGCCAAAACACCCCAAACGAGAUAUGCGUCCCUGCAGUUUUACUGUCUAAUUCCAAGAUUUAGAUGAGAGGUUUGCUAUCUUGCAAAAAGCAGGUUUUAUUGGCAAUGCCGCUAUUUUUCACAAUUUUUUUCAGGAAAUUUAUCUCAAAUUUAUUUUCAUAAGAAUUACAUAGGAAACAGUGAAAAACUUAUUUUAACCUUGAUUGCAUAAUUUUGCUCUCCUGAGAAGUUCAGCUAAGUGGCUGAGGGCAAUUUUCUUGCAACACAUCAUAAAUGCAAUUUUUCUCCGAGUAAUUUAUUUGUAGACUGAUCAAUUUAUAUGAUCGAAUGAAUUUUAGCAAUAAUAAUGUGCUUUUGAUUGAAUUUACUUAAUCACCCAUGUGUUUUAAAGUGCCUGCCAUUUACCAGAUUAUGAUUUUUAUCAUUUGUUAUACAUAAUUGAUUUAGUUGAAAAAUACAGUUCUGAACUGUAGAACUUUACUACAUUCUGGUUAUUUUUAUGUAUUGAUAUUGACCUGAAAGGAAAACAUUCAGCAAUGAUGCUAAGAACUAUCUGCGUGAAUUGAUGCCCCAAUCUUGUGACAAUCCUAGGUAUACCUAAGUAAUUCUUUUCCAAAGCUGUCACAAUUGGAUUCAAAUUUUCAAGAGUGAAAUCCUUUUGCCUGCUGAUUCUUUUUUACGGUGCGUUUCUGGUCUCCACCUCUUGCCAGAUUAUGAGUGCAGCCAAGUUGUGUUUCAAGGAAAAAAAGUAAAAACGGGUUGGAAAUCAGAAUUUUAGGACAAAUAAACUCAUUUGUUCAAUCUUAAGGUUGCUAUUGUUAAAACCUCUCCGUUGAUUGCGUUUGCGUAUCACCUAAUACAGAAUAAUUUUUAUUUAUUUUCCUUUAUUUUCUUGUUUUGGAAACUCACAGUUUCUGAUUAUCAGAAGAAAACAUCCAAUUUUCUAAAGAUCCACAGUAUCAAUUUCAUUCAUAUGAAAGAGUAUUCUAUUAAACAUCUACCCGACAAAUCAGAAUGAAAUCCUCACCCAUUGGUCCAUGAUGCCAAAACUUUAUAUAGGCUCUCAAUUCUGCAACUGUCAUGAUUCUAGUCAAAUAUAUAUUGCUCAGAUACUUCAAGUUAAUAACUUAAGAAAUUCAUGCAUGCUCUCCCAUGAUUAUUAAAGAUGAAAAAUUACCAAAAAUUGCCAACUUAAUGAUUUGCUGCAUGUUGCUCUAGUCACAGAUCAUUCAUUGGUUGCAUGGCUGAUCGGUGGAAGGCUUGCUUUUAAAAUCAGUCUUGGGUGUGGCAUUGAAUCAAGAAAUACCCAGGAAAAUAUAAGUAUACUGAAAUUGUCCAAUUGAAUCCAAGGAACAUGAAAUGAUUCUCUGCAUGCAACAGAUAUUUUGAAUGCUUUUAAACUUAUUUUUGAACAACAAAACCCUAUUUAGAUAGUACUAAGUAAACCCGUUACAUUGAUAGUUUUGAAAAAUACCCAUGUGCAAUUAUGUAGGGCUGGUAACAUAUGCUAGAUAUGGAUGCUAAUGGAUUUUCAAAAAUUACAGCCUUAGGAACAAGAUCGAAAAUGGGGAGCACUCACGAGAACCUCCAAAGGUUCCAUCAUACUCUUUAGCUACAUAGGAAUUUUUGAUCUUUCCAUAGAUAAGAACCGUUUGCUUAGUGCAAUUUUCUCUUGAACACAGUUUAGCAAUAACUUGUACCGUUCAAAAGUUAGAAGCAUUCAACAAUUUGGACUUCGACCCCCCAUUCCCUGCUCCCCAGUAUUUAGGGCAAAAAAUCGACCAUUUUCUUCUCAGAUGAUCCUCUAUCAGCCCCCAAAAUAUGACUUGAUUCCCCGGGGGGGCCAAACACACCAAUUUUGAAUAGUGUCCUUUGCUCAUUCUUAGCACCGAGUGACUUAGCAUACACCCUUGAGCUGUCCAAGUCUCAUUGAGUAUUCUCUUUUCUCAACAACUAAAAUGUUUUUAUAUGUUUGCUGCCCAUUUUUGACAGUUUUAGGGAAUUUUCCCUCUGUUAUGUUUCUUUAUUGUUAUGUAAAUAAGAUAGUCAAUACUCAACCGCCAAAAAGUAUCAAACAGACUGUAAACAUGGUAACAACAUGUUCUGCAGUCAAAUCAAUUUGUACACAUUAUCAAUUUGUCAAAAUUAGACUUUAUCUAGUGUAUUGCAUUGUAUAUAAGAUUGAAUUUUCGCUGUUCACAUCCAUUUCCACAGCAUGGCCCCAAUUCCAAAAUAAAUGCCAGAAAAUUUAAGGGUCGCUUCUUGAGAUCAAAAUAAGAUUUUGCCCACAUGGCUCCAAAAUUCUUUCUGAGCUACAACAAUAUAACAGUUUGGAAAAUGUAUGGCUCCAAAAUGAUUAACUCCCCCUCACCUUCUCAGGUAGACCGUCAUGGAAUGUUUGUAUUUUCAUGUAAUUUUAAAUGCUGAGUCUAAACUUUUAUUUUAAAAAAUGCUUAGGGUAUGUGAAUUUUUCUUAAUAUAUAUAACAGAUUGAUUUCUAGGUACUUAAGCAAAUAUUUUUUUUCUACAUCAACCUGGGAGGUAAAUGGAACCCAUUUUUGGCUUUUUCAAAACGGGGUUUUCUUUGCCAUUUAGGGUUAAGAAAAUCUUUAAAGAUUUCUAGAAGCUUAGUUCACCCUGUUCAUAGUAAAAUUGAUUGAAAAAAAUGCAGGUGCCUCUUACCUCACUAAAAUACUUGCCGAAAACUACUGAAUCCCUGCAUACAUUCUGUAAGACUGAUAUGCUCUAUAAAUAACUGCAGAAGAACUUUUAAAUCAUUUUCUUCAGCUCUCUCUGAUUCUAUCAUUAAAGUGAAAUUUGUUAAGCAGAGAGCACAUUGACGGUCAUAAAUAUAAAUGGCCCCUUAAAAUAUUCACUGUGAGGUGUUCAUAGUGGAAUUCAGCUCCACGAGUUCUGUAGAAUGCCAAAUUCGACAGCCUAUCCAGGGAGAUACUUGAAAUUGUGAGCAAUUAUACUUAUUUUCUUCUGUUUCCAAAUCUUAGACAGUCGUAGCCCAGAGGAGUUUAAUUUUGUAAUCAUGUUGUAGCCAUUCAAGUUUAUUCUAGCCUCAAGAAUAGAUCCCUAAUUUCUUUGCUGUUAUUCUUAGGACAUUCUGUGUAAAUAUUUCUAGAUUUAUUAUUUUUAACAAUUUUGACAACUUUUGUAGCAAUGAAAUUUAUAUGUUAUAUUCUAAUUUAUAUUAAAUUGAUCUUCCAGAAAUUGUACCAGAUUUUUCUCUUUUAACAUUCGGUAGUGACUUUACCAUAGUUCGAAAUGAAACUUGCUAGACAAGAAAGAGUUGAAUCUAUGUUAAUUGAGACACUGGGUGCGAAAAGGGCACUUCUCUAUUGCAGUGUUUCAGAGUCUCCUCUAAUAUUUCAUUCAUUACAAGGAAAGUGAAUGCAUCCAUUUCAUUCAAAAUUUUACUGAAUAUUCCUCACGAUUCUACAAUUUCUAUGGAAAGAAUUCUGGAAAAAUCACCCAUUAAAGUCUUUUCUAUGGGAUUAAUUAGCAACAGAGAUUCUGAAACACUGCAGUUGGGAAAUGCCCUUUUUGCACCCAGUGUCUCAAUUUUAUGCAGCAACAUUAAAGGAGAAGAAAAUUAGUGCUCUCCUCGAUCAGUUAUCUGAUAUUGAGAAAUUUCAAAUGGAAAAAGGGAGCUAAGAAGUGUAAAAGAAUACUUUUAGACCCUCUUUUCUCGAAACUUGAGUGUUAUCAAGUUAAAUCUAUAAAGUUUAUUGUGCUCCAGAGGUUGUGAUAGAAUCAUUAAAAAAAAUAUUAAAAUUUAGCAGAUGUAUAAUCUCUGUGUAAUUCAAGUGAUUUCCUUUUCUAGAAUUUCUGUUAAUUAAUUUUCCAAAUAUGACGGAAAGUCUGCAAUAUAAUGCACGUUUUCAAGUAUAGCCAUCGAUGCUUUUUUAAAUGUUGGCAAACUCUUUAUCGAGGCAAACAAGAGGAUAAAGUAUUAUGUAAUCCAAAUUAAAGUAUUUGUUGAAUUUGUCAGAGAAGUUUAUUGGAAACAUUUUGGCUCCUUCCAACAAAUUUUGUGAAAUAUUAAUAACAAAAACAAAAGAACUACAAAGGUAAAAAGAUUUUUUUUAAAAUUAUAUGCA
RNAcentral lists this long non-coding RNA (5904 nucleotides) under Bemisia tabaci. RNAcentral describes it as "lncRNA ENSSSA2NGG000477". Lineage: Eukaryota; Metazoa; Arthropoda; Insecta; Hemiptera; Aleyrodidae. The record is from RNAcentral.